Molecule: long non-coding RNA, 2592 nt
Organism: Panthera uncia (snow leopard)
Lineage: Eukaryota; Metazoa; Chordata; Mammalia; Carnivora; Felidae
Exons: 2
Source: RefSeq, a predicted model, not a curated record
AAAGCAGGCACCGGUCACUCCGGAACCGGUCUAGGCACCCCGGAAGCGGCACCCAAAGAACGCCGGCCCGAAAGAGGAAGAGGAGAAGAUGCAGAAAAUAGCAGUCUGAAAGAGAAUGUCCUUACUGAAGUCCCCUAGCCAGGAAGCAGCAGGGCCUGGAUUGAAACGCAAGCCUGUCUCACCCUAGAGCAAGCCCACAUUUUUUUCCCCUGGCGGCGGGCAGCCUGCCUAGUGGUGAGUCAGUGGUGCAGACAAGCACCCAGAAACCUGCCUUUUCUCCUUAGUGGCAUGAUUGUGUGGAUGUGCCAUGCCCUAACCAUUUCCGUAUUGAUAAACAUUUAAGCUGUUACUGAACUUUGGCUCUUACAAGCAUUUGCUGUGGUUACUAACCUUGUACAUCUGAUUGCAUGUGUGUGAUAGGAUUGUCAGUAAUAUCUUGUUUGAAGUGGAAUUGCGGGGUCAAAGGGUCCACGCUUGGGAAUGUUGAGAGCCAUGGCCACUUGAUGUAUGUUAUUCAUUUCUCCGUUGACUUCGGUGUUCAUUUUAUUCAUUCAUAUGUUGACUGAAUUCUGGAACUCUAGUCAGCUGCCAGGCAUGGCUGUAGGCUGGAGAUCCUACAGGGAAAUAGGCCAGAGCACCUGCCCUCUAGGAGCAGAUAUUCCAGUGAAGCAGAUGAUGUCAGGUAAAAGAUGAGUGGAAGGAUAAGUCAGGAUAAGGAAAUUUCGGGUGACGGAGGUCAGAGGUGGUCAGGGAAGGCUCUCUUGAGGAGAUGACAUUUGAGCAGAGUCCUGAACAAAGUUAAGGAACUGAACCGUAUGAAGAUGCUGAAAAGCCGUGGAAAGACCUGAGGAAGAAGCGGAGUGGAGCUGGUGUUCGAAGAUUGUCAAGGUGACCAGAGUGGCUGGAGCAGAGCGAGGGGAAGAGAGAAAGCAUUAUUUAGGAAUGAAGCUAUCGAGAGGGGCCAGGUUACAUAGGGUCUUGUAGGCCACGGGAAGUUACUUGCCGGGUGUAACAGGAAGCCGUUGGAGGGCUGUGAGCAAGGCCCGGCAUGUUGAGAUGUGUGUUUUAUAAACAUCUCUAUAGUGAACACCCUGAAUUAAUGACUGUGGUUGCUUGUGGGGAUGAAGGUUCUAGACAGAUACGGAACAGAGCUGUGAGGACGAGUGUUGAAGACUUCUGCUUUUUUGAGCAAUGUGACUGUUGUCUGUGCACAGAAAAGUUAAAGUAUUAAAGCAGCACCAGUUGCUGUGAGGAGAAUGGCCUGCAGCUGGGCAGGCGUGGACACAGGUGAUGAGGAAGCCCAUGUCCCUGCCUGGAUAGGAGAUGAUGGUGACUCAGAAAGAGGGUUCUGUGAGAGGAACCAUGAAUCAGGGAUGACUUAAAAGUUACCCUAAAGGUUUUGGGCUUGACCAACUGGAUGAAGGGUGAUGCUUUUUCACGAAGAUGUGGAGGAGUCCUCUUGGUGGGAAAUCGACAAGCUUUGAACCUGCUGACCCUGAGAUGCUCGCUGGACAUCGAGUAAGGGGCGGCAGUUAGGACAGAAGCCAGGGUUGUAGACUGAAAAUUUUUUACUGACUUUUCAUUGUGCAAUUUUAUUUUAUUUAUUUUCAAUUUUUUAAAAUGUUUUAUUAUUUGAGAGAGAGAGUGAGUGGGGGGAGUGGGCAGAGAGAGAGGGAGACACAGAAACUGGAGGAGGCUCCGAGCUGUCAGCACAGAGCCUGACUCUGUGGGGCUCAAACUCAUGAACCACGAGAUCUGACCUGAGCGGAAGUCAAACGCUUAACUGCCUGAGUCACCCAGGUGCCCCUCGGGCGUUUUUAAGGUGGGAGGAACUAUAGCAGGUUUGUUUGCCAUCAGCAGUGCUAGAGGGAAAAUGGACAUGGAGACUUAGGAACCUGUCCUCAAGCAGGUAAUGGGGGUGGUGCUGACAUUGUACAGGGGAGAGACGGUUUGGCCUUGAAUCAAAGAGGGGCCAGCUCUUCCUGGUAAAAGAAAGUCAUACCAUCUGACAUUCCCUCUGGAUUGUGAAAACCGCUCUUGUUCCUUCUGUGUUGGCAGUUACUGUGCACAGCAUAAAAGCUCAAGCAAGGUCUUUGGACUGCAGUCUGGUAUUGAUGUAAAUGGUAGGGCUUCCUUUACAAACCAUAAUGAAGAACUGGAUAGAUGGUCGUGAUGUUUGUUCUAAGUGGCUGGGGCCAGAGGGAGAGGACGGUGGUGGGCAGUUACAGCAAGGGAUGCUGGGGAAGGAUGGGGAGCCCCCUGGCAGGAGCAGCUGUGACACUGCGAUUUAUAAUAAUCUAUGUGGUCUUUGCCCCUUUUCUGGCUCAUAGCACCUAAAACCCUUGGAAUUUUGUGCGGUGAGAGCAGAGGUGUCUUUUGUUAUGUUAACGAGGUGGUUUUUGGAAAACACUUGGGUAACCUAAAGCUGGGGGCUUGUUGCCAGGGCCCCAACCUUGUAGAGGUUGAAACAGCCGGUCUGACCCUUGGCCUUCUGGAAAGGGAGAAGGGGUGGUUGGAGCUUGAAUCAAUUGCCAGUGGCCAAUGAUUUAAUCAGUACUGACUUUGUAAUGAAGCCUCCAUCAAAACCCAAAA